Molecule: transfer RNA, 69 nt
Filed under: Escherichia coli 3-020-07_S4_C1
Lineage: Bacteria; Pseudomonadati; Pseudomonadota; Gammaproteobacteria; Enterobacterales; Enterobacteriaceae
Description: partial tRNA-Val
Rfam family: tRNA
About the family: Transfer RNA (tRNA) molecules are approximately 80 nucleotides in length.
Source: RNAcentral
UAGCUCAGCUGGGAGAGCACCUCCCUUACAAGGAGGGGGUCGGCGGUUCGAUCCCGUCAUCACCCACCU